RNAcentral lists this long non-coding RNA (816 nucleotides) under Salvia miltiorrhiza (redroot sage). RNAcentral describes it as "long non-coding RNA (SMIL_LNC001667)". The record is from RNAcentral. Lineage: Eukaryota; Viridiplantae; Streptophyta; Magnoliopsida; Lamiales; Lamiaceae.
ACACAUCAGGGUCAAAGGAAAAGCAGUCUUAAUUCAAUAAUCCUGCGUCAGAGUUUAUUGGUUUUGAAUCGGGUUUCUCUAGAUAUUAAUGCUGUCGGCUCAUUAAACUUAUAGAGCGUCUCUUACGGUUGUCAGUCGAUUAGAGUAGUAAUUAGUGAAGCGUCUUCCUGGUUACCGAAUAAUUAAGGAGAAAUAAGAUCACGUCAGAAGCGUCUUCGGUGAUUAUAACUGGUUUGUUUGCAUGAUUUAAAGUUAUUUUUGCAUCCAUGAUCGGAAUAAUUGAGCUAGGGUGGACUUAAUUGAUUGCUGGAAUUCUUUUAUUAAUUGUUGGAAUUUUUAUUCAUCUUUUAGCUAUUGGAAAAAUUGGUUUAUUUGGGUUUUAUUUAUUUAAUUUUAAGUUUAGUAUUUUCUAUAUUUUCUUCCCAAAAUUUCGUGGGUUACUUGCAGGCUUUAAUUAGAUAAAUUCUCGCCAGUCCCUUGGGAGACGAUCUUGCUUACUGCUAUCUGCGCAGUGUGGGCAUACCGGCUGACUGCCGGAUAUUUUUGGUGUAAAACGACGCACCAAAUUUUGGCGCCGUUGCCGGGGAUUUGGUUUUAAGCAGGAUUUUACUGAUUUCAGUCUGUCUUUUAUUUUUAGUUAUUUUAUUUUUAGUUUAUGCCCCGUUCUUCUCGUACAGGCAUAUUAGUUUUUGAUCCAGAAAUCGAGAAAACCGCACGAAAGUUAAAGAAGCAAGCUAAGGAGUGGAAAAAGAGAUCAAAUUCUGCCCCAUCAAGUCUUGAGGAACAACCAAAAAUAGAAGUUCCAAUGGAUGACCG